UAGUGGCGAACGGGUGAGUAACACGUGGGCCNAUCUGCCCUUCACUCUGGGACAAGCCCUGGAAACGGGGUCUAAUACCGGAUAACACCUGCCCGGGCAUCCGGGUGGGUUAAAAGCUCCGGCGGUGAAGGAUGAGCCCGCGGCCUAUCAGCUUGUUGGUGAGGUAGUGGCUCACCAAGGCGACGACGGGUAGCCGGCCUGAGAGGGCGACCGGCCACACUGGGACUGAGACACGGCCCAGACUCCUACGGGAGGCAGCAGUGGGGAAUAUUGCACAAUGGGCGAAAGCCUGAUGCAGCGACGCCGCGUGAGGGAUGACGGCCUUCGGGUUGUAAACCUCUUUCAGCAGGGAAGAAGCGAAAGUGACGGUACCUGCAGAAGAAGCGCCGGCUAACUACGUGCCAGCAGCCGCGGUAAUACGUAGGGCGCAAGCGUUGUCCGGAAUUAUUGGGCGUAAAGAGCUCGUAGGCGGCUUGUCACGUCGGGUGUGAAAGCCCGGGGCUUAACCCCGGGUCUGCAUUCGAUACGGGCUAGCUAGAGUGUGGUAGGGGAGAUCGGAAUUCCU
RNAcentral lists this ribosomal RNA (565 nucleotides) under Streptomyces sp. 343A09. RNAcentral describes it as "bacterial SSU rRNA". It matches the Rfam family "Bacterial small subunit ribosomal RNA", at positions 93 to 671 of the family's 1533-position model. Lineage: Bacteria; Bacillati; Actinomycetota; Actinomycetes; Kitasatosporales; Streptomycetaceae. The record is from RNAcentral.